GUGCCGUCCUCCGGCGGUGCCGGCUCCGGUUCGGGCUCGGGGCGGCGCGCGGUGGCGAGCAGCGUGUCCGUUUCCACGCGGCGGCGCU
Molecule: transfer RNA, 88 nt
Filed under: uncultured organism
Also listed under: 1 other name
Description: tRNA-Pro
Source: RNAcentral